GGGCGAGUGGCCAAGAGGCUAAGGCGGUUGACUGCAAAUCUUCGAUCAGAGGUUCGAAUCCUCUCUCGCUCUCCA
RNAcentral lists this transfer RNA (75 nucleotides) under Paenibacillus thiaminolyticus. Its description in RNAcentral is "tRNA-Cys". It matches the Rfam family "tRNA". Rfam says of the family: Transfer RNA (tRNA) molecules are approximately 80 nucleotides in length. Lineage: Bacteria; Bacillati; Bacillota; Bacilli; Caryophanales; Paenibacillaceae. The record is from RNAcentral.